GACGGAGGAUGCAAGUGUUAUCCGGAAUCACUGGGCGUAAAGCGUCUGUAGGUGGUUCGAAAAGUCCACUGUUAAAAAUUGAGGCUUAACCUCAAAGAUGCCGUGGAAACUUUCAAACUUGAGUAUGGUAGGGGUAGAGGGAAUUUCCAGUGGAGCGGUGAAAUGCGUAGAUAUUGGAAAGACCACCGAUGGCGAAGGCACUCUACUGGGCCAUUACUGACACUGAGAGACGAAAGCUAGGGGAGCAAAUGGG
RNAcentral lists this ribosomal RNA (253 nucleotides) under uncultured bacterium. Its description in RNAcentral is "partial 16S ribosomal RNA". It matches the Rfam family "Bacterial small subunit ribosomal RNA", at positions 524 to 776 of the family's 1533-position model. The record is from RNAcentral.